GAUCCCUGAGAAGAGCUCAGUUGAUUAGAGUCUGGUGCUAAUAACACCAAGUUUGUGGGUUCAAUCCCCAUAUGGGCCA
This is a non-coding RNA of Lamprotornis superbus, 79 nucleotides long. The record is from the annotation of a GenBank genome assembly. NCBI's taxonomy places the organism in Eukaryota, Metazoa, Chordata, Aves, Passeriformes, Sturnidae.